RNAcentral lists this ribosomal RNA (405 nucleotides) under uncultured bacterium. Its description in RNAcentral is "bacterial SSU rRNA". It matches the Rfam family "Bacterial small subunit ribosomal RNA", at positions 355 to 774 of the family's 1533-position model. The record is from RNAcentral.
UGGGGGAUAUUGCACAAUGGAGGAAACUCUGAUGCAGCAACGCCGCGUGAGGGAAGAAGGUCUUCGGAUUGUAAACCUCAGUAGUCAGGGACGAAAGAAAUGACGGUACCUGAAGAGUAAGCUCCGGCUAACUACGUGCCAGCAGCCGCGGUAAUACGUAGGGAGCGAGCGUUGUCCGGAUUUACUGGGUGUAAAGGGUGCGUAGGCGGGAUAGCAAGUCAGACGUGAAAUACCGAGGCUUAACUUCGGGGCUGCGUUUGAAACUGUUAGUCUUGAGUGAAGUAGAGGCAGGCGGAAUUCCUAGUGUAGCGGUGAAAUGCGUAGAUAUUAGGAGGAACACCAGUGGCGAAGGCGGCCUGCUGGGCUUUAACUGACGCUGAGGCACGAAAGCAUGGGGAGCAAACA